This 163-nucleotide microRNA precursor is filed under the name Glycine max (soybean). Its description in RNAcentral is "miR4378a stem-loop (gma-MIR4378a)". The stretch from base 3 to 90 matches the Rfam family "MIR4378 microRNA precursor family". Lineage: Eukaryota; Viridiplantae; Streptophyta; Magnoliopsida; Fabales; Fabaceae. The record is from miRBase by way of RNAcentral.
UCAUAGGACUGUCUUAGAAUGGUGUACAUUCUAAAACAGUCUCCAACACAAACUCGUCUUAGAAUGUCAUACAUUUUAAGACGGGCUUAUGUCAUACACUCUAAGAUGGAUUUAUCCUGGGGAUUGUCUUAGAAUGUACAACAUUAUAAGACGGUCUGCGUGA